CCUUGAUGUCACCUUUGGUGUGUGAGGUAUAAGAAAUAUUUUUUGGCCAGCAGCAAAGUUUUUACCAUCGAAGUUCGUCCCAUCGUCUCUUUGUCCUUUGCAAGGAGUCGAUGAUAGAAGGCAAUUUUUGGGAUGCUUGCGGGCCACCUUGCUUGCUGAGAGUGCUUGUCAGCCCCUUUGCCCGCCAUUGCAGCGAUGCAUUUAAGAACGUGGUGAGGCCAAUCCACCCUCUUACUCAGCGAUCAACCGGGAGAUUAACU
This 260-nucleotide long non-coding RNA is filed under the name Olea europaea (common olive). RNAcentral's name for it is "long non-coding RNA (OEUR_LNC004468)". The record is from RNAcentral. Lineage: Eukaryota; Viridiplantae; Streptophyta; Magnoliopsida; Lamiales; Oleaceae.